AAAAGAUUAGAGCUUUUUGUGGUUCAAUUGGUGUUUGAUAAGUUUUAUACAGAGUUUGGAAUUGGGAUUUUUUGUUUUCAAUAGUUCAGUUUUUGUACAUUGUAGUUAUGCAGACUUACACUGCAAUGUCUCUUGGGAUUGAGUGUCUUUGUAGGUGAAAUGACGAUAGUUGUGUGACUUUUUGACAUAAAGUUGUUAUAGUUGAGUGACUCGUAGUUGUAUCUAGUUAAGAUCAUGAGUUUCUAAUCGUUUGGCAUUCGUUUUCUAUAGGCACUAGAAAUCAAGAAACAAG
This 292-nucleotide unclassified non-coding RNA is filed under the name Hevea brasiliensis (rubber tree). Lineage: Eukaryota; Viridiplantae; Streptophyta; Magnoliopsida; Malpighiales; Euphorbiaceae. The record is from RNAcentral.